GAUGAACGCUGGCGGCGUGCUUAACACAUGCAAGUCGAACGGGAAACCUUUUAUUGAAGCUUCGGCAGAUUUAGCUGGUUUCUAGUGGCGGACGGGUGAGUAACGCGUGGGUAACCUGCCUUAUACAGGGGGAUAACAACCAGAAAUGGUUGCUAAUACCGCAUAAGCGCACAGGACCGCAUGGUCCGGUGUGAAAAACUCCGGUGGUAUAAGAUGGACCCGCGUUGGAUUAGCUAGUUGGCAGGGUAACGGCCUACCAAGGCGACGAUCCAUAGCCGGCCUGAGAGGGUGAACGGCCACAUUGGGACUGAGACACGGCCCAGACUCCUACGGGAGGCAGCAGUGGGGAAUAGUGCACAAUGGGGGAAACCCUGAUGCAGCGACGCCGCGUGAAGGAAGAAGUAUCUCGGUAUGUAAACUGCUAUCAGCAGGGAAGAUAGUGACGGUACCUGACGAAGAAGCCCCGGCUAACUACGUG
RNAcentral lists this ribosomal RNA (478 nucleotides) under uncultured bacterium. RNAcentral's name for it is "partial 16S ribosomal RNA". It matches the Rfam family "Bacterial small subunit ribosomal RNA", at positions 28 to 507 of the family's 1533-position model. The record is from RNAcentral.